GGAAGGAACAUAUUAUUUUCCAGCUCAAAGACGCUCUGGGCAGAGAAGUGACUGGGCCUUCAUAAGGUACUCAAUGGAGGCCAACCUGCAAUCAGGAGGGUGAUGCCUGAUCCUAACCAGUGAGUACUGGGAUGGUCAGGAGCACUCAAAUCUGUGUUAGCUCAGGUACAUCAGAAAGUGGAGCCUGAGGCAAGGGUUAAGUGCAGACCCUUCACUCAGGGGCUGCAAGCCCAGGGCAAUGACAGUGUAGAGAAAAUGGGAAGGGAGACAGGGACCAAUGUGAUAUGCAGGGUCAAAAUGCUGGCCAUCUCCUUGCAACAAGCAACAGAGCACAGCCUGAAGUGCAGCAGACAGGGCUUCCUAGCACUCAGGACUUCUCUAGAAAGCUUGCAAGGCUUGCACAGCACAAAGCCAUCCACAAGAGAAAGAGGAGGGAAAACGUAUCCUCUUAGGUCCCCUCCAGACUCUCAUUUACCACUGGCUAAGUGUCCCCCAUAAGAAGGUAACUCCCCUGCAUUCUCAGGUUGCAUUGGCGUGGUCCUUUAGCAGUCACACAGAAAUCCCAGUCCCAGGGGUCAAUAUGUGACAUCUUAGCUGAGUCCAGGGCAUAAGAGGCAACUCAGUGUAGGUGGAGCCAAGAGUCCCAAACAGACCUGAGAGGCACGCAAGUCUGUGUCCAAUCCAGGAAUCAGUGAUUCACCCCUGGGGUCCUGGCAGUGUAAGAAGAGCCUGGAGGGAAAGCAGCUCCCAUUCCAGAAUGCCUCCCGAGGGUAGCAGCAUUUUCACAUCUGCACUUUUCUCAUGAAAGGGCGAGGAAGAAGAAACAGAACUCUCUGCGGAAACACCCACCAUGCCCCAUCCAGUGUUGUGUGGCUGCCUUGCACCAUUCUCUCCUUUGAGAGAAUUAAAAUUCUCUUUGAAAUUAAAAAUGAUGUUUACUGGAAACUUCUGCUGUUCAGAAGCAAAACAUGUCCAUUGUUGAAAAACCAAAAACCUC
Molecule: long non-coding RNA, 997 nt
Filed under: Homo sapiens (human)
Lineage: Eukaryota; Metazoa; Chordata; Mammalia; Primates; Hominidae
Description: non-protein coding lnc-MAPK8-4:1
Source: RNAcentral